CCGGCGGGACGACCCGACGGAGUGAUCGCAGGUGGGGACGGCCCC
RNAcentral lists this non-coding RNA (45 nucleotides) under Microbacterium sp. RNAcentral describes it as "Guanidine-II sequence". It matches the Rfam family "Guanidine-II riboswitch aptamer (mini-ykkC)". From Rfam's summary of the family: Simpler in structure and has fewer highly conserved nucleotide positions than the ykkC-yxkD leader. Despite this each of its two stem-loop structures directly bind free guanidine. Therefore, mini-ykkC RNA motif represents a distinct class of guanidine-sensing RNAs. The record is from RNAcentral. Lineage: Bacteria; Bacillati; Actinomycetota; Actinomycetes; Micrococcales; Microbacteriaceae.